Molecule: ribosomal RNA, 272 nt
Filed under: Escherichia coli
Lineage: Bacteria; Pseudomonadati; Pseudomonadota; Gammaproteobacteria; Enterobacterales; Enterobacteriaceae
Description: partial 16S ribosomal RNA
Rfam family: Bacterial small subunit ribosomal RNA
Source: RNAcentral
AAAUUGAAGAGUUUGAUCAUGGCUCAGAUUGAACGCUGGCGGCAGGCCUAACACAUGCAAGUCGAACGGUAACAGGAAGCAGCUUGCUGCUUCGCUGACGAGUGGCGGACGGGUGAGUAAUGUCUGGGAAACUGCCUGAUGGAGGGGGAUAACUACUGGAAACGGUAGCUAAUACCGUAUAAUGUCGCAAGACCAAAGAGGGGGACCUUCGGGCCUCUUGCCAUCGGAUGUGCCCAGAUGGGAUUAGCUUGUUGGUGGGGUAACGGCUCACC